GACGAACGCUGGCUGCGUGCUUAACACAUGCAAGUCGAACGCUGAAACCCUGGUGCCUGCACCGGGGUGGAUGAGUGGCGAACGGGUGGGUAACACGUGAGUAACCUGCCCCCGACUUCGGGAUAAGCCCGGGAGACUGGGUCUAAUACCGGAUAUGAGCGCCCCUCGCAUGAGGGAUGCUGGAAAGUCUUUUCGGUUGGGGAUGGGCUCGCGGCCUAUCAGUUUGUUGGGGAGGUAAUGGCUCACAAAGACGACGACGGGUAGCCGGCCUGAGAGGGCGACCGGCCACACUGGGACUGAGACACGGCCCAGACUCCUACGGGAGGCAGCAGUGGGGAAUAUUGCACAAUGGGGGAAACCCUGAUGCAGCGACGCAGCGUGCGGGAUGACGGCCUUCGGGUUGUAAACCGCUUUCAGCAGGGAAGAAGCCCCUUGGGGUGACGGUACCUGCAGAAGAAGUACCGGCUAACUACGUGCCAGCAGCCGCCGUAA
RNAcentral lists this ribosomal RNA (492 nucleotides) under uncultured bacterium. Its description in RNAcentral is "partial 16S ribosomal RNA". It matches the Rfam family "Bacterial small subunit ribosomal RNA", at positions 28 to 523 of the family's 1533-position model. The record is from RNAcentral.